Pieris brassicae (large cabbage white) is the source of this 654-nucleotide long non-coding RNA. RefSeq lists it as uncharacterized. The transcript is spliced from 2 exons. The record is from RefSeq and is a predicted model, not a curated record. Lineage: Eukaryota; Metazoa; Arthropoda; Insecta; Lepidoptera; Pieridae.
UGACUUACUUGCUUAAUUUCAUCUUGUCAGGACAUACUCCACAAUCCAUACAUUCACCAAAUAUUAAAGGUACUGUACCGUGAAGCUGAUAGUAAAGUAAAUACAGAUAUACAAUCAGAUCAUUUUUUAGUUAUUAGUUUAAAUUUGAGUAGAAGUAGUGUAAAUUUGAAUAGUUAUAUUCAUUAUAUAUUGGCAGCUAAAUAUGAACUUUUAUUACAAUUGGCUAUUUCGAGGGCGGAACAAAUUACAGUGCUGUUUUUCUUCAUUGUUUAGAGUAAAGAGCAUAAAUAUAAUAUUAGAAGUGUACACCUGUAAUAGGAUUAGAUGUGGAAACAGUUUGCUCUAAAGAACUGGGUUGUGUAAUAAUUUUAAAUGUAAAAUAAGCUGCAAUUUAAAUGUAUGUUAAUAAACAUUGUUCACUAUUAUUUCUUUCCUUUUGUAGUUAAUAACAUUGAUAAUGUUAAUAAAUAAUGUUUACCCUAUCGCAAUAUUUUCUUACGGGAUUAAUCAUCACUUCGUAGUCUUCAAGCAGUUCAGUUCGCUACUGUGUUUUGCUUAGUGUUUAAAAUUUGAAUAAUACAAUACAACCGUCCACCCUACAUGACGAACGGAAUUCAGGCAGCAGUGGUAGAAUGGAUUAGAGCUCUGGACUUA